Molecule: ribosomal RNA, 467 nt
Filed under: uncultured bacterium
Lineage: Bacteria
Description: partial 16S ribosomal RNA
Rfam family: Bacterial small subunit ribosomal RNA
Source: RNAcentral
AAGAAGGAGGGAGGAGUGCUUAACACAUGCAAGUCGAACGGAAAGGCCCUGCUUUUGUGGGGUGCUCGAGUGGCGAACGGGUGAGUAACACGUGAGUAACCUGCCCUUGACUUUGGGAUAACUUCAGGAAACUGGGGCUAAUACCGGAUAGGAGCUCCUGCUGCAUGGUGGGGGUUGGAAAGUUUCGGCGGUUGGGGAUGGACUCGCGGCUUAUCAGCUUGUUGGUGGGGUAGUGGCUUACCAAGGCUUUGACGGGUAGCCGGCCUGAGAGGGUGACCGGCCACAUUGGGACUGAGAUACGGCCCAGACUCCUACGGGAGGCAGCAGUGGGGAAUAUUGCACAAUGGGCGGAAGCCUGAUGCAGCAACGCCGCGUGCGGGAUGACGGCCUUCGGGUUGUAAACCGCUUUCGCCUGUGACGAAGCGUGAGUGACGGUAAUGGGUAAAGAAGCACCGGCUAACUACGUG